ACGCCUGUAGCUCAACGGAAUCAGAGCAGCAGCCUACGAAGCUGUUGGUUAAGGGUUCGAAUCCCUUCAGGCGUUCCA
Molecule: transfer RNA, 78 nt
Filed under: bacterium
Lineage: Bacteria
Also listed under: 2 other names
Description: tRNA-Arg
Rfam family: tRNA
About the family: Transfer RNA (tRNA) molecules are approximately 80 nucleotides in length. Their secondary structure includes four short double-helical elements and three loops (D, anti-codon, and T loops).
Source: RNAcentral